Molecule: ribosomal RNA, 322 nt
Filed under: uncultured Coriobacteriales bacterium
Lineage: Bacteria; Bacillati; Actinomycetota; Coriobacteriia; Coriobacteriales
Description: bacterial SSU rRNA
Rfam family: Bacterial small subunit ribosomal RNA
Source: RNAcentral
AGUAGUUUGAUCAUGGCUCGAGGACGAACGCUGGCGGCGUGCUUAACACAUGCAAGUCGAACGGGCACUUCGGUGCUAGUGGCGAACGGGUGAGUAAAGCGCAGGUAAUCUGCCGCAAAGUCGGGGACAACGUCCCGAAAGGGACGCUAAUACCGGAUGUUGUGCGGAGUUCGCAUGGAUUCUGCAUUAAAGAUUUAUCGCUUUGCGAGGAGCCUGCGUCCGAUUAGGUAGUUGGUAGUGUAAGAGACUACCAAGCCGACGAUCGGUAGCCGGUCUGAGAGGAUGAACGGCCACAAUGGAACUGAGACACGGUCCAUACUCC